Molecule: ribosomal RNA, 1008 nt
Filed under: Salmonella enterica
Lineage: Bacteria; Pseudomonadati; Pseudomonadota; Gammaproteobacteria; Enterobacterales; Enterobacteriaceae
Description: partial 23S ribosomal RNA
Rfam family: Bacterial large subunit ribosomal RNA
Source: RNAcentral
UCUGGAAAGGCGCGCGAUACAGGGUGACAGCCCCGUACACAAAAGCGUAUGUGCUGUGAGCUCGAUGAGUAGGGCGGGACACGUGGUAUCCUGUCUGAAUAUGGGGGGACCAUCCUCCAAGGCUAAAUACUCCUGACUGACCGAUAGUGAACCAGUACCGUGAGGGAAAGGCGAAAAGAACCCCGGCGAGGGGAGUGAAAAAGAACCUGAAACCGUGUACGUACAAGCAGUGGGAGCCCCACCACUAAGCCAGUGGUGAACUCCACAUACGCAUCCUUUGCUGAGGAUACGGUUAACGGAGCGAAAGCGACGUUCAACCGCAAAAGAAGCAGAGGGGGCUUAGUGGUGGGGUGACUGCGUACCUUUUGUAUAAUGGGUCAGCGACUUAUAUUCUGUAGCAAGGUUAACCGAAUAGGGGAGCCGGAGGGAAACCGAGUCUUAACCGGGCGUUAAGUUGCAGGGUAUAGACCCGAAACCCGGUGAUCUAGCCAUGGGCAGGUUGAAGGUUGGGUAACACUAACUGGAGGACCGAACCGACUAAUGUUGAAAAAUUAGCGGAUGACCUGUGGCUGGGGGUGAAAGGCCAAUCAAACCGGGAGAUAGCUGGUUCUCCCCGAAAGCUAUUUAGGUAGCGCCUCGUGAAUUCAUCUCCGGGGGUAGAGCACUGUUUCGGCUAGGGGGCCAUCCCGGCUUACCAACCCGAUGCAAACUGCGAAUACCGGAGAAUGUUAUCACGGGAGACACACGGCGGGUGCUAACGUCCGUCGUGAAGAGGGAAACAACCCAGACCGCCAGCUAAGGUCCCAAAGUCAUGGUUAAGUGGGAAACGAUGUGGGAAGGCCCAGACAGCCAGGAUGUUGGCUUAGAAGCAGCCAUCAUUUAAAGAAAGCGUAAUAGCUCACUGGUCGAGUCGGCCUGCGCGGAAGAUGUAACGGGGCUAAACCAUGCACCGAAGCUGCGGCAGCGACGCUUAUGCGUUGUUGGGUAGGGGAGCGUUCUGUAAGCCUG